RNAcentral lists this ribosomal RNA (545 nucleotides) under Parapalaeosepsis plebeia. RNAcentral describes it as "partial 12S ribosomal RNA". The stretch from base 343 to 414 matches the Rfam family "tRNA". Lineage: Eukaryota; Metazoa; Arthropoda; Insecta; Diptera; Sepsidae. The record is from RNAcentral.
CUGUAAUCGAUAAUCCACGUUGGACCUUACUUAAAUUUGUUUAUCAAUUUAUAUACCGUCGUUAUAAGAAUAUUUUAUUAGAAUAAUAAUUUUCUAUAAUUUUUAUAAAAAUUUAUAUCAGAUCAAGGUGUAGUUUAUGUUUAAGUAGAGAUGGGUUACAAUAAAUUUAUUUAAAUGAAUUAGUUUUUGAAAUAAAAUUAUGAAGGUGGAUUUGAAUGUAAAAUUAUAAAGAUUAAUAAUUUGAUUUUAGCUCUAAAAUAUGUACACAUCGCCCGUCACUCUUAUUAUUAAGGUAAGAUAAGUCGUAACAUAGUAGAUGUACUGGAAAGUGUAUCUAGAAUGCAAUUUAAAGCUUAAAUAGUAAAGCAUUUCAUUUACAUUGAAAAGAUUUUUGUGCAAUUCAAUAUAAAUUGAAUAAUUUUUAUUUAUUAAUAAAUUUAUUUAUGAAUUUUUAUAUAUUAGAAAUAACUAUAAAAAUAAUGUUUUAGUAUUGUUUAAAGAAUAAAUAAUAUUUAUAAUAGUGUAAUAGUAUUGUGAAAGAAAAU